This 13981-nucleotide long non-coding RNA is filed under the name Cucumis sativus (cucumber). Its description in RNAcentral is "long non-coding RNA (CSAT_LNC001545)". Lineage: Eukaryota; Viridiplantae; Streptophyta; Magnoliopsida; Cucurbitales; Cucurbitaceae. The record is from RNAcentral.
UCCUUUCUAGGCCAUUGUGCCUCUCUUUCGGUGUUUUGGGACGGAACCAAGAAACCGAGUCUUGGGCAUCACUGUUCGGCUUUUGUGGGUAAGAAACUUUGAGACCACUCAGAAUCGGACCACCCAGUAGCUAGACGUGAACUUUCGGGGCCUCCGACCCCCUUCUGAGUCUGAUCGUUCCUUUCUAGGCCAUUGUGCCUUCUUUCGGCGUUUUGGAACGGAACCGAGAAACCGAGAAUAGGGCAUCACCGUUCGGUUUUUGUGGGCAAAAAACUUAGAGACCACUCAGAAUCGGACCACCCAGUAGCUAGACGUGAACUUUCGGGGCCUCCGACCCUCUUCUGAGUCUGAUCGUUCCUUUCUAGGCCAUUGUGCCUUCUUUCGGCGUUUUGGAACGGAACCGAGAAACCGAGACUAGGGCAUCACCAUUCGGUUUUUGUGGGCAAAAAACUUAGAGACCACUCAGAAUCGGACCACCCAGUAGCUAGAUGUAAACUUUCGGGGCCUCCGACCCCCUUCUAAGUCCGGCUGUUCCUUUCUAGGCCAUUGUGCCUUUCUUUCGGCGUUUUGGGACGGAACCAAGACACCGAGUCUGGGGCAUCACCGUUCGGCUUUUGUUGGCAAGAAACAUCGAGACCACUCAGAAUUGGACCACCCAGUAGCUAGAUGUGAACUUUCUAGGCCUCUGACCCCGUUCUAAGUCUGGUCGUUCCUUUCUAGGCCAUUGGGCCUCUCUUCGGUGUUUUGUGACGGAACCAAGAAACCGAGUCUUGGUCAUCACCGUUCGGCUUUUGUGGGCAAGAAACUUGGGAGGCCACUCAGAAUCGAACCACCGAGUAGCUAGAUGUGAACUUUCGAGGCCUCUGACCCCGUCCUAAGUCCGGUCAUUCCUUUCUAGGCCAUUAGGCCUCUCUUUGGUGUUUUGGGACGGAAUCAAGAAACCGAGUCUGGGGCAUCACAGUUCAGCUUUUGUGGGUAAGAAACUUCGAGACCACUAAGAAUCGGACCACCAAGUAGCUAGACGUGAACUUUCGAGGCCUCUGACCCCGUUUUAACUUCGGUCAGUCCUUUCUAGGCCAUUGUGCCUCUCUUUCGGUGUUUUGGGACGGAACCGAGAAACCGAGAAUAGGGCAUCACCGUUCGGUUUUUGUGGGCAAAAAACUUAGAGACCACUCAGAAUCGGACCACCCAGUAGCUAGACGUGAACUUUCGGGCCUCCGACCCCCUUCUGAGUCUGAUCGUUCCUUUCUAGGCCAUUGUGCCUUCUUUCGGCGUUUUGGAACAGAACCGAGAAACCGAGACUAGGGCAUCACCGUUCGGUUUUUGUGGGCAUAAAACUUAGAGACCACUCAGAAUCGGACCACCCAGUAGCUAGAUGUGAACUUUUGGGGCCUCCGACCCCCUUCUAAGUCCGGCUGUUCCUUUCUAGGCCAUUGUGCCUUUCUUUCGGCGUUUUGGGACGGAACCAAGACACCGAGUCUGGGGCAUCACCGUUCGGCUUUUGUUGGCAAGAAACAUCAAGACCACUCAGAAUUGGACCACCCAGUAGCUAGAUGUGAACUUUCUAGGCCUCUGACCCCGUUCUAAGUCUGGUCGUUCCUUUCUAGGCCAUUGGGCCUCUCUUCGGUGUUUUGUGACGGAACCAAGAAACCGAGUCUUGGUCAUCACCGUUCGGCUUUUGUGGGCAAGAAACUUCAAGGCCACUCAGAAUCGGACCACCGAGUAGCUAGAUGUGAACUUUCGAGGCCUCUGACCCCGUUCUAAGUCCGGUCAUUCCUUUCUAGGCCAUUAGGCCUCUCUUUGGUGUUUUGGGACGGAAUCAAGAAACCGAGUCUGGGGCAUCACCGUUCGGCUUUUGUGGGUAAGAAACUUCGAGACCACUCAGAAUCGAACCACCCCGUAGCUAGACGUGAACUUUCGGGGCCUCCGACCCCGUUCUAAGUCUGGCCGUUCCUUUCUAGGCCAUUGUGCCUUUCUUUUGGCGUUUUGGGACGGAACCAAGACACCGAGUCUGGGGCAUCACCGCUCGGCUUUUGUGGGUAAGAAACUUCGAGACCACUCAGAAUCGGACCACCUAGUCGCUAGACGUGAACUUUAUGGGCCUCCGACCCCUUUCUAAGUCUGACCAUUCCUUUCUAGGCCAUUGUGCCUUUCUUUCGGCGUUUUAGGACGGAACCAAGAAACUGAGUCUGGGGCAUCACCGUUAGGCGUUUGUGGGCAAGAAACUUCAAGAACACUCAGAAUCGGACCACGCAGUAGCUAGACGUGAACUUUUGGGGACUCCGACCUCCUUCUGAGUCCGAUCGUUCCUUUCUAGGCCUAUGUGCCUUCUUUCGGCGUUUUGGGACGGAACCCAGAAACCGAGACUGGGACAUAACUGUUCGACUUUUGUGGGUAAGAAACUUCGAGACAACUUAGAAUCGGACCACCCAGUAGCUAGACGUGAACUUUCGAGGCCUCCGACCUCGUUCUAAGUCCGGUCGUUCCUUUCUAGGCCACUUUGCCUUUCUUUCGGCGUUUUGGGACGGAACCAAGAAACCGAGUCUGGGCAUCACCGUUCGGCUUUUGUGGGCAAGAAACUUCGAGACCACUCAGAAUCGGACCACCCAGUAGCUAGACGUAAACUUUCGAGGCCUCCGACCCCGUUCUAAAUCCGACCGUUCCUUUCUAAGCCAUUGUGCCUUUCUUUCGGCGUUUUGGGACGGAACCAAGAAACUGAGUCUGGGCAUCACCGUUCGUCUUUUGUGGGCAAGAAACUUCGAGACCACUAAGAACCGGACCACCCAGUAGCUAGACGUAAACUUUCGAGGCCUCCGACCCCGUUCUAAGUCCUGCCGUUCCUUUCUAGGCCAUUGUGCCUUUCUUUCGACGUUUUAGGACGGAACCAAGAAACCGAGUCUGGAGCAUCACCGUUCAGAUUUUGUGUGCGAGAAACUUCGAGACCAAUCAGAAUCGGACCACCCAAUAGCUAGACGUGAACUUUCGAGGCCUCCGACCCCGUUCUAAGUCCGACCGUUCCUUUCUAGGCCAUUGUGCCUUUCUUUUGGCGUUUUGGGACGGAACCAAGAAAUCGAGUCUGGGGCAUCAGCGUUCGACUUUUGUGGGCAAGAAACUUCAAGACCACUCAGAAUCGGACCACCUAGUAGCUAGACGUGAAAUUUCGAGGCCUCCGACCCCGUUCUAAGUCCGGUCGUUCCUUUGUAGGCCAUUGUCUACAUUCUUGCCAGCAUGUCUGAUGUAUUGGCAAAGAAACAUGAAUCCUUAGCCACGGCUAAAGAGAUUAUGGAUUCAUUAAGGGGAAUGUUUGGGCAACCAGAAUGGUCAUUAAGACACGAGGCAGUCAAAAAUAUUUACACUAAGCGUAUGAAGGAAGGGACCUCUGUUAGAGAACAUGUUCUGGACGUGAUGAUGCACUUCAACAUCGCUGAAGUGAAUGGUGGUCCCAUCGAAGAGGUUAAUCAAGUUAGUUUUAUCUUAGAGUCUCUUCCAAAGAGCUUCAUUCCAUUCCAAACGAAUGCGUCUUUGAACAAGAUAGAAUUUAACUUGACAACCCUUCUGAAUGAACUCCAGCGAUUCCAAAACCUUACUAUGGGUAAAGGAAAACAAGUGGAAGCAAAUGUUGCUACCACAAAAAGAAAAUUUAUAAGAGGAUCGUCCUCUAAAACCAAAGCUGGACCCUCAAAACCUAAUGCUCAAAUAAAAAAGAAGGGAAAGGGAAAGACUCCCAAACAGAACAAGGGUAAGAAAGGUGCAGAAAAAGGUAAGUGUUACCAUUGUGGCCAAAACGGGCACUGGUUAAGAAACUGCCCAAAAUACCUUGCAGAAAAAAAGGCAGAGAAGGAAACACAAGGUAAAUAUGAUUUACUAGUUGUAGAAACAUGUUUAGUGGAAUAUGAAAAUUGUACCUGGAUACUAGAUUCAGGAGCCACUAACCAUAUUUGCUUCUCAUUUCAGGAAAAUAGUUCUUGGAAAAAGCUUUCAGAAGGCGAGAUCACUCUCAAGGUUGGAACAGGAGAGAUGGUCUCAGCUUCAGCAGUGGGAGAUUUAAAGUUGUUUUUUAGAGAUAGAUAUGUCAUACUUAAGAAUGUCUUAUAUGUACCUCAAAUGAAAAGAAAUUUAAUAUCUAUCUCUUGUAUUUUGGAACAAAUGUAUAGAAUAUCUUUUGAAAUUAAUGAAGCGUUCGUUUUCUAUAAAGGUAUUCUAGUUUGUUCUGCUAUACUUGAAGACAACUUAUAUAAGUUAAGACCAACUAGAGCAAAUUUUGUCUUAAAUACUGAAAUAUUCAGAACAGCUGAAACUCAGAAUAAAAGACAAAAAGUUUCUUCUAAUGCCUAUUUAUGGCACUUAAGACUUGGUCACAUAAAUCUCAAUAGGAUUGGGAGAUUGGUUAAAAGUGGGCUUCUAAGUCCGUUAGAAGAUAACUCUUUACCUCCUUGUGAAUCUUGUCUUGAAGGAAAAAUGACCAAGAGAUCUUUUACUGGAAAAGGUCUAAGAGCCAAAGGACCCUUAGAGCUCGUACAUUCGGACCUUUGUGGACCAAUGAAUGUCAAAGAGGUGGAUAUGAAAUAUUUCAUUAGCUUCAUUGAUGAUUAUUCAAGGUAUGGUCAUAUUUACCUAAUACAUCAUAAGUCUAAUAGUCUUGAAAAGUUCAAAGAAUAUAAGGCUGAAGUAGAAAACGAAUUAGGUAAAACAAUAAAAAUACUUCGAUCAGAUCGAGGUGGAGAGUAUAUGGACUUACGAUUCCGAGACUAUUUAAUAGAAAAUGGAAUCCAGUCACAACUCUCUGCACCUAGUACACCUCAACAGAACGGUGUAUCAGAAAGAAGAAACCGGACCUUGUUAGACAUGGUUCGCUCUAUGAUGUUUUUCUCAGAUGUCAGAUUCUUUUUGGGGAUAUGCUUUAGAAACAGCUGCUUAUAUUUUGAAUAAUGUUCCCUCUAAAAGUGUUUCAGAAACACCUUAUGAGCUAUGGAAAGGGCGUAAAGGCAGUUUACGUCAUUUUAGAAUUUGGGGUUGUCCAGCACACGUGUUGGUACAAAAUCCAAAAAUUGGAACAUCGUUCAAAAUUAUGCUUUUUUAUAGGUUAUCCAAAAGAAUCAAGAGGUGGUUUGUUUUAUGAUCCUCAAGAAAAUAAAAUAUUUGUGUCAACAAAUGCCACAUUCUUAGAGGAAGACCACAUCAGGGAUCAUCAACCUCGUAGUAAACUAGUAUUAAAAGAAAUUUCCAAAAGUGCUAUAGAUAAACCUAGUUCAUCCACUAAGGUAGUUGAUAAGACUAGGAAAUCUGGACAAUCACAUCCUUCUCAACAGUUGAGAGAGCCUCGACGUAGUGGGAGGGUUGUUCAUCAGCCUGAUCGCUAUUUGGGUUUAAUUGAAACUUAAGUCGUCAUACCUGACAAUGGCAUAGAGGAUCCAUUAACCUAUAAACAGGCAAUGAAAGAUGUAGAUCGUAACCAAUGGAUCAAAGCCAUGGACCUCGAAAUGGAGUCUAUGUACUUUAAUUCUGUCUGGACUCUAGUAGAUCAACCAAAUGACGUAAAACCUAUUGGUUGUAAAUGGAUCUACAAGAGAAAACGAGACCAUGCCGGUAAAGUACAGACUUUUAAGGCUCGACUUGUGGCAAAGGGUUAUACCUAGAGAGAGGGAGUAGACUAUGAGGAAACUUUCUCUCCUGUUGCCAUGUUAAAGUCAAUUAGAAUACUCUUAUCCAUCGCCACUUUUUAUGAUUAUGAAAUUUGGCAGAUGGAUGUCAAGACAGCUUUUUUGAAUGGUAAUCUUGAAGAGAGUAUCUAUAUGUCUCAACCAGAGGGGUUUAUAGAACAAGAUCAAGAACAAAAGGUUUGUAAGCUUAAAAAAUCCAUUUAUGGAUUAAAACAAGCUUCUAGAUCCUGGAAUAUAAGAUUUGAUACUGCGAUCAAAUCUUAUGGCUUUGAACAAAAUGUUGACGAGCCUUGUGUUUACAAAAAGGUCGUCAAUUCCAUUAUAGCAUUUUUAGUCUUAUAUGUAGAUGAUAUUCUACUUAUUGGAAAUGACGUAGGAUAUCUUACUAAUAUCAAGAAAUGGCUAGCUAUGCAAUUUCAAAUGAAAGAUCUGGGAGAUGCACAAUACAUUCUCGGAAUCCAAAUUGUUCGAAACCGUAAGAACAAAACACAAGCCAUGUCUCAAGCAUCUUACAUAGACAAAAUGUUGUCUAGAUAUAAAAUGCAGAAUUCCAAAAAGGGUCUGCUGCCGUACAUAUAUGGAAUUCAUUUGUCAAAAGAAAAAUGUCCUAAGACACCUCAAGAAGUUGAGGAUAUGAGAAAUAUUCCCUAUGCUUCAGCUGUUGGAAGUUUAAUGUAUGCAAUGUUAUGUACUAGACCUGACAUUUGCUACUCAGUAGGGAUGGUCAGUAGGUAUCAAUCCAAUCCUGGACGUGAUCACUGGACAGCCGUUAAAAACAUUCUAAAAUAUCUUCGAAGAACAAAAGACUACAUGCUCAUGUAUGGUACAAAGGAUCUGAUCCUUACUGGAUACACUGAUUCAGAUUUCCAAGCUGAUAAAGAUGCUAGAAAGUCUACAUCAGGAUCAGUAUUUACUCUAAAUGGAGGAGCAGUAGUUUGGAGAAGCAUAAAGCAAACUUGUAUAGCUGAUUCCACAAUUGAAGUUGAAUACGUAGCGGCUUGUGAAGCAGCAAAAGAAGCUAUAUGGCUAAGAAAAUUCUUGACAGAUUUGGAAGUCGUUCCAAAUAUGCAUCUACCAAUCACUUUAUACUGUGACAACAGUGGUGCAGUUGCAAAUUCAAGAGAACCUAGAAGUCAUAAAAGAGAAAAGCAUAUUGAACACAAGUACCAUCUUAUCAGGGAAAUUAUACAUCGUGGUGACGUUGUAGUAACCCAGAUUUCUUCUCAGCAAAACAUUGCUGAUCCUUUUACAAAAGCCCUCACGGCUAAAGUGUUUGAGGGUCAACUACACAGUUUAGGUCUACGAUGUUUGUAAACUAGGACAAGUGGGAGACUUAUUGGCCAAGUGCCCUAGUUUCAUAUCUAUUCUCUCACACCACAUCUCUCACACCACUAGGAAUUUUAGUCCAAGUGGGAGUUUGUUGGAAUUUUUUGUCCUAAAACUCGUAGUUUGUAAAUCAUAUUCUGUUCAAUAAAGUUGUUAUUGAGAAAUUAAAUAUUAUAAUCUUAAAUCCAAUAAAUCAAGUUCCAAGGCUAUUUUUGAAUAAACUUGAACUUUAUGUGUAAACAUAAACGUGGAUCAAGUUCGAGUACAUAGCCUAAAUAGUCUAUAGUAUAUGAAAUAAAGGUUGGGCGCCUUAUAUAGAGAAACUAUGGAUGCGACCCACUUUGUAGUACAAACGAGGUGAUCCUAAUCGUUCAUGUAGAGACAUGAAAGUGGGGGCAUCCUAUGUAAAAUGUUUACAUCAGACUGAACCAUGAAUUAGUCUUUUUUACGUUAUAACAUCGUUUACUGUUUAAAACUGACUAUCUCAAUUAUUGAUGACCUAGGUAACUUAGUCUUAAUCCUGAGUUAACUAUGAACUCCUGUUCACACGAGAUUAUCCUUAGAUCUGCAUAGGUGAGGGCAGCUCAUCAUCGUUGGCCCAAUAAGCCUCUCAUUUCAAGGGUAAGAUCGGGUGGAUAGCUGGGAACAUAGGGUACAAGAUGGAAUUCACUCCUACCCGCUUUAGGGUUAGUAGAUAGGUUGUUCUCUUAAGCACUGAAUCCAAGUCUUGAACAAGGGGCCCUACCCUCUCAUUGGCCCGAGAGGGAUUAAGUUUAUAGGUUGAACCUUAAACCAAUUGUUCAAUAGUGGAUUAGCGGGACUUAAGGAGCAAGAUGUAAUCUUGGGGGUAAAACGGUAUUUUGACCCAGCCAAGGUUACGAGCAACCUGUGAAGGAUUAACUUACUGAUUAUGGUUUUAUCAAAUGGACACAAAUAUAUCUAUAGGUCCAUUAGGUUCCUCUGCUAGCUCAUAUGGAUUAAACUUAGAACAGUGUGAUGAAAUAAGUCGAAUUUUUCGAAUUGGGAGAAGAAAGGGAAACCGACAAAUAUAGUGAUAUAGUCGUCGGUCUUCUAAUUAGAAAUAGAGGUUUAUGUUUUACACACUAUAAGUAUGAAUGCGGAUUCAUACUAAGAAGCUCGAAAUUGAUGGAAUUGGUCAAAAAUAGUAAAAAGUCAAAAUGUUGACUUUUGACUUUGAAAAGUCAAACUUUGACCGGCCUUAUAUUCAAAUGUGAUUUGAAUUUUGGAAAAAUGAAUGCGGAUUCAUGCUCGGGAGGUUGGAAUUAGUCAAGAUGGACAAAAUGGUAAAAAGUCAAAAUAUUGACUUUUGACUAAGAAAAGUCAAAGUUUGACUUUUGACUAGAAAUAUCUAAUGACCAUUUUACCCUUGGACUAAGUUAGUGGGAAAAUCCAACAUUUUUUUCGAUAAUCCCACUAACUCUUAGUGGGAUAUGUGGCUAUAUAAGAUAUAGACACCUAGCCCACUAAGUUCCACUAAUUGUUAGUGGAACAUUAGGUGUUGAGAUUUGGCAAAUGAAUUGCAUGCAUUUUUGCAUGUAAUUAGGUUAUAAAUAGAGGUGUUUUCAAAUGUAGAAGGACUUUUGCCUCUUUUAUCAUUUUCAUCAUCUCAGUCAAAGGAAUAAAAGAUACCUUCUAACCCCCUUUUAUCUCCAUUACUUUCUACACCAAAAUUGAGUCUCACAACCCAAGUUCUUUAUUUAGAGGAUAGCGGUUGAGUACUAGUGGUGGUCUCGGUUUGAAUUGGUAAAAAGAUAUCAAACUUUUUGAAAGCUUCAAAGGUAAUAUUUCCUAAACCCUAAUUUGAUUAGUUUAUGGUUACAUGUUAAUUGUGGCAAUUAUGGUAGAAAUUCGAUUCUUUUUCCGCUGUGCAUGACUUAGUUCUAUCAGUCUGGGGCAUCACCGUUCGACUUUUGUGGGCAAGAAACAUCGAGACCACUCAGAAUCGGACCACCCAGUAGCUAGACGUGAACUUUUGAGGCCUCCGACCCUGUUCUAAGUCCGGCCAUUCCUUUCUAGGCCACUAUGUCUUUCUUUCGGCGUUUUGCGACGGAACCAAGAAACCAAGUCUAGGGCAUCACCGUUCGGCUUUUGUGGGCAAGAAACUUCGAGACCGCUCAGAAUCGGACCACCCAGUAGCUAGACGUCAACUUUUGAGGCCUCCGACCUCGUUCUCAGUACGGCCGUUCCUUUCUAGGCCACUGUGCCGUUCUUUCGGCGUUUUGGGACGGAACCAAGAAACCGAGUCUAGGGCAUCACCGUUCGGGUUUUGUCGGCAAGAAACUUCGAGACCGCUCAGAAUCGGACCACCCAGUAGCUAGACGUGAACUUUCGAGACCUCCGACCGCGUUCUAAGUCCGGCCGUUCCUUUCUAAGCCACUACGCCUUUCUUUCGGAGUUUUGGGACGGAACCAAGAAACCGAGUCUUGGGCAUCACCGUUCGGCUUUUUUUGGCAAGAAACUUGGAGACCGCUCAGAAUCGGACCACCUAGUAGCUAGACGUUAACUUUUGAGGCCUCCGACCCCGUUCUAAGUCUGACCGUUCCGUUCUAGGCCACUCUGGCUUUCUUUCGACGUUUUGGGACGAACCAAGAAACUGAGUCUGGGCAUCACCGUUCGGCUUUUUUGGGCAAGAAACUUAGAGACCGCUCAGAAUCGGACCACCCAGUAGCUAGACGUUAACUUUUGAGGCCUCCGACCCCGUUCUAAGUCCGACCGUUCCGUUCUAGGCCACUGUGCCUUUCUUUCGGCGUUUUGGGACGAAACCAAGAAUUCGAGUCUGGGCAUCACCGUUCGGCUUCUGUGGGCAAGAAACUUCGAGACCGCUCAGAAUCGGACCACCCAGUAGCUAGACGUUAACUUUUGAGGCCUCCGACCCCGUUCUAAGUCUGACCGUUCCGUUUUAAGCCACUGUGCCUUUCUUUCGGCGUUUUGGGACGAAACCAAGAAUUCGAGUCUGGGGCAUCACCGUUCGGCUUCUGCAGGCAAGAAACUUCGAGAUCGCUCAGAAUCGGACCACUCAGUAGCUAGACGUGAACUUUCGAGGCCUCCGACCCCGUUCUAAGUCUGGCCGUUCCUUUCUAAGCCACUGUGCCUUUCUUUCGGCAUUUUGGGAUGAAACCAAGAAGUCGAGUCUAGGCAUCACCGUUCGGCUUUUUUGGUCAAGAAAUUUGGAGAUCGCUCAGAAUCGGACAACCCAGUAGCUAGACGUUAACUUUUGAGGCCUCCGACCCCGUUCUAAGUCCGACCGUUCCAUUCUAGGCCACUGUGCCUUUCUUUUGGCGUUUUAGGACGAAACCAAGAAUUCGAGUCUAGGGCAUCACCGUUCGGCUUUUGUGGGCAAGAAACUUUGAGACCACGCAGAAUCGGACCACCCAGUAGCUAGACGUGAACUUUCGAGGCCUCCGACGCCGUUCUAAGUCCGGUCGUUCCUUCCUAGGCCAUUGUGCCUUUCUUUCGGCCUUUUGGGACGAAACCAAGAAACCGAGUCUGGGCAUCCCCGUUCGGCUUUUUUGGGCAAGAAACUCUUAGACGACUCAGAAUCGGACCACCCAGUAGCUAGACGUGAACUUUCGAGGCCGACCGCGCGUUCUAAGUUAGUCCAGUCGUUCCUUUCUAGGCCAUUGUGCCUUUGUUUCGGUUUUGGGACGAAGAAGAAACCGAGUAUGGGGCAUCACCGUAAGGCUUUUGUGGCAAGAAACUCUGAGACGACUCAGAAUCGGAACACCCAGUAGCUAGACGUGAACUUCGAGGCCUCCCGACGCCGUUCUAAGUCUGGGUCGUUCCUUUCUAGGCCAUUGUACCUUUCUUUGGCGUUUUGGAAGGAACCAAGAACCGAGUCUGGGCAUCACCGAGUUCGGCUUUUUGUGGCAAGAAACUUCGAGACCGCUCAGAAUCGGACCACCUAGUAGCUAGACGUGAACUUUCGAGGCCUCCGACCCCGUCUUAUGUUCGGUCGUUCCUUUCUAGGCCAUUGUAUCUUUCUUUCGGCUUUUGGGACGGAACCAAGAAACCGAGUCUGGGGCAUCACCGUUCGGCUUUUCUGGGCAAGAAACUUCGAGACCACUCAGAAUCGGACCACCCAGUAGGUAGACGUAAACUUUCGAAGCCUCCGACCCCGUUCUAAGUCUGGUCGUUCCUUUCUAGGCCAUUGUGCUUUCUUUCGGGGUUUUGGGACGGAACCAAGAAACCGAGUCUGGGCAUCACCGUUCGGCUUUUGUGGGCAAGAAACUUCGAGACGCUCAGAAUCGGACCACCUAGUAGCUAGACGUGAACUUUCGAGGCUCGACCCCGUUCUAAGUUCGGUCGUUCCUUUCUAGGCCAUUGUAUCUUUCUUUCGGCUUUGGGACGGAACCAAGAAACCGAGUCUGGGGCAUCACGUUCGGCUUUUCUGGGCAAGAAACUUCGAGACCACUCAGAAUCGGAACCCAGUAGCUAGACGUAAACUUUCGAAGCCUCCGACCCCGUUCUAAGUCCGGUCGUUCCUUUCUAGGCCAUUGUGCCUUUCUUUCGGGGUUUUGGGACGGAACCAAGAAACCGAGUCUGGGGCAUCACCGUAAGGCUUUUGUGAGCAAGAAACUUCGAGACCACUCAAAAUCAGACCACCCAGUAGCUAGACGUGAACUUUCGAGGCCUCCGACUUCGUUCUAAGUCCGGUCGUUCCUUUCUAGGCCAUUGUGCCUUUCCUUCGGCGUUUUGGACGGAACAAGAAACUGUCUGAGGCAUCACGUUCGGCUUUUGUGGGCAAGAGACUUCGAGACCACUCAGAAUCGGACCACGUAGCUAGACGUGAACUUUCGAGGCCUCCGACCCGUUCUAAGUCCUGUCUUUCCUUUCUAGGCAUUGUGCUUUCUUUCGACGUUUUGGGACGGAACCAAGAGACCGAUUCUGGGCAUCACCGUUCGGCUUUUGUGGGCAAGAAACUUCGAGACCACUCAGAAUCGGACACUAGUAGCUAGACAUGAACUUUCGAGGCUCGACCGUUCUAAGUUCGGUCGUUCCUUUCUAGGCCAUUGUAUCUUUCUUUCGGCUUUUGGGACGGAACCAAGAAACCGAGUAUGGGGCAUCACCGUUCGGCUUUUCUGGGCAAGAAACUUCGAGACCACUCAAAAUCGGACCACCCAGUAGCUAGACGUAAACUUUCAAAGCCUCUGACCCCGUUCUAAGUCCGGUCGUUCCUUUCUAGGCCAUUGUGCCUUUCUUUCGGGGUUUUGGGACGGAACCAAGAAACCGAGUCUAGGGCAUCACCGUAAGGCUUUUGUGGGCAAGAAACUUCGAGACCACUCAAAAUCGGACCACCCAGUAGCUAGACGUGAACUUUCGAGGCCUCCGACUCGUUCUAAGUCCGAUCGUUCCUUUCUAGGCCAUUGUGCCUUUCUUUCGGCGUUUUGGGACGGAACAUGAAAGAGUCUGGGGAUCACCGUUCGGCUUUUGUGGCCAGAAACUUCGAGACCACUCAGAAUCGGACAACCUAGUAGCUAGACGUGAACUUUCGAGGCCUCCGACUUCGUUCUAAGUCCGCUCGUUCCUUUCUAGGCCAUUGUGCCUUUCCUUCGGCGUUUUGGAACGGAACCAAGAAACAGAUUCUGAGGCAUCACCGUUCGGCUUUUGUGGUCAAGAAUCUUCGAGACCACUCAGAAUCGGACCACUCAGUAGCUAGACGUGAACUUUCAAGGCCUUCGACCGAGUUCUAAGUCCGGUCGUUCCAGACCAUUGUGCCUUUCUUUUGGCAUUUUGGGACGAAACCAAGAAACCGAGUCUGGAGCAUCACCGUUCGGCUUUUGUGGGCAAGAAACUUCGAGACCACUCAGAAUCGGACCACCCAGUAGCUAGACGUGAACUUUCAAGGCCUUCGACCCCGUUCUAAGUCCGGUCUUUCCUUUCUCGGCCAUUGUGCCUUUCUUUCGGCGUUUUGGGACGAAACCAAGAAACCGAGUCUGGGGCAUCACCGUUCGGCUUUUGUUGGCAAGGAACUUUGAGACAACUCAGAAUCAGACCACCCAGUAGCCAGACGUGAACUUUCGAGGCCUCCGACCCCGUUCUAUGUCCGGUCGUUCCUUUCUAGGCCAUUGUGCCUUUCUUUCGGCGUUUUGGGACGAAACCAAGAAACCGAGUCUGGGGCAUCACCGUUCGGCUUUUGUUGGCAAGAAACUUCGAGAUCACCCAGUACCUAGACGUAAACUUUCGAGGCCUCCGACCCAAUUCUAAGUCCGGUCCUUCCUUUCUACGCCAUUGUGCUUUUCUUUCGGCGUUUUGGGACGGAACCAAGAAACCGAGUCUGGGGCAUCACCGUUCAGCUUUUGUGGGCAAGAAAAUUCGAGAUCACCCAGUACCUAGACGUGAACUUUCGAGGCCUCCGACCCCAUUCUAAGUCCGGUCGUUCCUUUCUAGGCCAUUGUGCCUUUCUUUCGACGUUUUGGGACGGAACCAAGAAACCGAGUCUGGGUCAUCACCGUUUGGCUUUUGUGGGCAAGAAACUUCGAGAUCACCCAGUACCUAAACGUGAACUUUUGAGGUCUCCGACCCCGUUCUAAGUCCGGUCGUUCCUUUCUAGGCCAUGGUGCCUUUCUUUCGGCGUUUUGGGACGGAACCAAGAAACUGAGUCUGUCGCAUCACCGUUCGGCUUUUGUGGGCAAGAAACUUCUGUUGGAAUUUUUUGUCCUAAAACUCGUAGUUUGUAAAUCAUAUUCUGUUCAAUAAAGUUGUUAUUGAGAAAUUAAAUAUUAUAAUCUUAAAUCCAAUAAAUCAAGUUCCAAGGCUAUUUUUUGAAUAAACUUGAACUUUAUGUGUAAACAUAAACGUGGAUCAAGUUCGAGUAUAUAGCCUAAAUAGUCUAUAGUAUAUGAAAUAAAGGUUGGGCGCCUUAUUUAGAGAAACUAUGAUGCGGCCACUUUGUAGUACAAACGAGGUGAUCCUAAUCGUUCAUGUAGAGACAUGAAAGUGGGGGCAUCCUAUGUAAAAUGUUUACAUAAGUCUGA